Molecule: long non-coding RNA, 838 nt
Filed under: Chlamydomonas reinhardtii
Lineage: Eukaryota; Viridiplantae; Chlorophyta; Chlorophyceae; Chlamydomonadales; Chlamydomonadaceae
Description: long non-coding RNA (CREI_LNC000883)
Source: RNAcentral
GUUCAUGCGAACGGUUUGUGCGAAACAUAGAACCUGCCGACGUUCAGAGGCGCAGCGGGUGGGGGGGAGUGGCGGGAGCGCAUUCACCUACCAGAUGUGAGGUGUGUGUUUGAGGGUGCUCACAGCCGCCCGCCUGAGUGGGCCAUUCACUUCAAACCAGCAACACCAGAAGCUGCACUCGGGUCCCUCACCAUGUCCGAGCCGCCGUGUCCUACACGCCACCUUCACACCUCCCAGACUUGCCUCCGUCACCUGCCCGAACACCAAACUGAGACCCCGUGUGCCUCCUGCCCCCACUCUCCCCCCCCCCCAUCCCGCCGCGACCUCCUGCCCAUGCCGCUUCGUCUCCCCGCCCAUGUCGCGGCCGCCCCAUCUCGCGCCGUGCCCAUGCACCCUUGCACCUUAACACUGCCGCCCUCCUUCCUUUUUCUUCCUCUUUCUUCCAUUUGUCAAGCCGGGAUCCCGUAGCCUUGUACUGCCCUGCUUCACUACUUCCACGACUUCUACUCACACUCGCCGCCUUGCCAUCCCCCACAUGUUCGUCGCGCCCGGCUGCUGGACGCUUCUACCUGGCGCUUCCCCGUUCGCAUCCAGGUGAGUAUGUUAGUAUAACCUUGCAACUAGUUGGGCGACGGGGUCCGCGCGCGGCUCGCAAUGCUGACAUGGCUUCGGAGCUGCUCUGGACUGCUCCUUCCACCUGUCGCUACACUGCCCAAGCCCGCCCGACUACACAUGGUGAUGUACAACGACUCGCGUUUGCAGCUGCAGUUCUCCUUGCCGCGCGACUGUUUCCUUACGGGAUUGGUUCAACGUUUCCCCCCCCCCCCCACUCCACUCC